ACGGAAUAGAUACCCUGGUAGUCCCAGCCGUAAACGAUGCUCGCUAGGUGUCAGGCAUGGCGCGACCGUGUCUGGUGCCGCAGGGAAGCCGUGAAGCGAGCCACCUGGGAAGUACGGCCGCAAGGCUGAAACUUAAAGGAAUUGGCGGGGGAGCACAACAACGGGUGGAGCCUGCGGUUUAAUUGGACUCAACGCCGGACAACUCACCGGGGGCGACAGCAAUAUGUAGGCCAGGCUGAAGACCUUGCCUGAAUCGCUGAGAGGAGGUGCAUGGCCGUCGCCAGUUCGUACUGUGAAGCAUCCUGUUAAGUCAGGCAACGAGCGAGACCCGUGCCCACUGUUACCAGCAUAUUCUCCGGAAUGAUGGGUACUCUGUGGGGACCGCCGAUGUUAAAUCGGAGGAAGGUGCGGGCCACGGUAGGUCAGUAUGCCCCGAAUCUCCGGGCUACACGCGGGCUACAAUGGAUGGGACAAUGGGUCCCUACCCCGAAAC
RNAcentral lists this ribosomal RNA (493 nucleotides) under uncultured bacterium. RNAcentral's name for it is "bacterial SSU rRNA". It matches the Rfam family "Archaeal small subunit ribosomal RNA", at positions 723 to 1217 of the family's 1478-position model. The record is from RNAcentral.